RNAcentral lists this ribosomal RNA (485 nucleotides) under uncultured bacterium. RNAcentral's name for it is "partial 16S ribosomal RNA". It matches the Rfam family "Bacterial small subunit ribosomal RNA", at positions 29 to 506 of the family's 1533-position model. The record is from RNAcentral.
AUUGAACGCUGGCGGCAUGCCUUACACAUGCAAGUCGAACGGCAGCACGGGUGCCUGCACCUGGUGGCGAGUGGCGAACGGGUGAGUAAUACAUCGGAACAUGUCCUGUAGUGGGGGAUAGCCCGGCGAAAGCCGGAUUAAUACCGCAUACGAUCUACGGAUGAAAGCGGGGGACCUUCGGGCCUCGCGCUAUAGGGUUGGCCGAUGGCUGAUUAGCUAGUUGGGGGGGUAAAGGCCUACCAAGGCGACGAUCAGUAGCUGGUCGGAGAGGACGACCAGCCACACUGGGACUGAGACACGGCCCAGACUCCUACGGGAGGCAGCAGUGGGGAAUUUUGGACAAUGGGCGAAAGCCUGAUCCAGCAAUGCCGCGUGUGUGAAGAAGGCCUUCGGGUUGUAAAGCACUUUUGUCCGGAAAGAAAUCCUUGGCCCUAAUACGGGCGGGGGAUGACGGUACCGGAAGAAUAAGCACCGGCUAACUACGU